RNAcentral lists this transfer RNA (65 nucleotides) under Sycophila sp. 2 JXW-2020. RNAcentral's name for it is "tRNA-Asp". The record is from RNAcentral. Lineage: Eukaryota; Metazoa; Arthropoda; Insecta; Hymenoptera; Eurytomidae.
UAAAAAUUAGUUAAAGUAUAAUAUUAAUUUGUCAAAUUAAAGUUAUUAAUUUUUAAUAUUUUUAA